UAAUAUGCUAUGUACAUAUUCUUAUAUAUUCAACCAAUAAGGUAGCUAUAAUGAAUAUAAUCAUUCGUUUUUAGUUCGUAGAACUAUUCUAAACUCUUCUAAAUCAACGAAGACUGGAAAAAUAUUAUAGAGAUUGGAAUCUCUAAUUAACUUUUGUGUAGCAAACUUAUAAUAAUUCCAAGGUCAGAGUUGCACUCGUGCGAAGCGUUGCACUCAAAACUGGAGUGUAAAAUGUCCAUGGAAGAAUGAGCUGCUCUUGUGUCGCACUAUGUAGGCGACACUAUUUCGCUCACUAAGUUCAGAUAUCGUUUUUCACCGUGUAUAUCUCACGGACAGUGCUGCAAUGUUGCCAUCUUAAUGCUGACACGUCGUCUUUCAAGGCUCAAGAGCUCUGAUUACUCUUUCUCUGAUCGCUCUCAAGUUUGAUAUACAUAUACAAUGUAUAUACUAUAAAUCGUUGCUAUAAAUCCUACUAUAACUUUAUGAGGCGUAAAAGACAAAUCCAGAUGUCAGAUAUGAGAAGAAUGGAAAACGGGUUUUAGCUUACAAGGAACUUAAUCGAGACAACGUUGUUCCGAAACGUGUUAGAUCGGCCACCGGGAAAAGAUUAAAAGCAACAAUUUGAAUAAGAAGCUUAACACGGCCGACACAAUAGUAAUUCCGCGCAAUUUACAUACUUAAGCGCCGGCUGAAACAGGUCACCGCGUCAUUACGUAAAUACUCCGGAGAAAGAGGGCGUUUCACGCGGAAAUAGUGGUAUAGUCGUUAACAAGUUGUACACAUAGUGUGAAUAGAAUAGAAAAGUACAUGUACUAUUUCGAUUAAUCGAUUUUAUUUGGAUAUUUUAUAAGAAAUUUGUUUUAUAAUUUUUAUAAUUGAUCAUUUUUUAAAGCAUGGGCUUGCAAUCUGUGAAUCAUGAUCCUCAAAAGGAUUGCAAAAUAAUUUCAAAUAUUUAUAAUGAAAAUUUCCAUAUAAAUGAUUUAUCGUUUAUUGUGGAUGAUAUUAAAAAAAAUAUCAAAGAUCUUUCUAAUUUCCAUUGAAUCUGAUUUAUUCUUAAAAAUAAAAUUAAAGAUCAAUCUCUAAUAAAUUCUACUUUCUUCCAGAAUAAUUUUCACUCAAUAAUAAUCCAUGACAUCAAAAUCAUUCCGCCUUUGCAUCUAAUCUAUCUUAACAUUCGUUAAGAUGAUCCUCUCUGAUGGCAAGAUCACCAAGGACUGCUAUUCAACAAACAGGAAACAAAGAAGAAAGAGACAAAUGGUCUAAUAGCGAAUAGAAGCGUGUAUCGGGGGAAGUUUACCUUGAUUUGGGGAGAGUGCACGUCAUAGGGUCGAGGCUACGAUAUAACUACGUCAGGAUUCGUAAACUGGGUCAUUGGGGCAUUCGAGUGCAUUUAUAUGCAUAUGCAUAGAGUAUGACCUAGAUUCGGAACGGGUGCGCGCGACCGUGCUCGCCCUUCGCCUGAAAGCGUUGUGUGCGUCCGUCAAAGAAGCUCGUCGAAAAAUACGAGCCAGGUUCCGUGAAUGUAUGUCGAUACCAUCGGGACUUCCGAGUGAGACAGAGCGGGAGAGUCAAGCGGCGGUUGCUACUGUGCAUCAUCAUCCCUCUAUGUCUGUAUUCUCCAACCAUUUUUUGAAUUGCGACCUCCUUUUGUGAUGUUCGAAUAAUUUGCAACCUCCUAUUUUCUUUAUUAAGAGAAAUUUAAAAACUUAAAAUUUUACAUGACUUUAUUAUAGCAAAAUGAUUAGUGAUACUGUUUUUUUUUUUUUUUUUUGAAAUUAAAUAACGAGAACUGUUAAUCUGAUACUGCUAUAUAAUAUGAUUAUGCAAUUGUAUUAAAAUAAAUAAUCAUUGAAAGUCAUUAAAUGAAAAUGAGCAGCAGUAAUUACAUCCUACAAAUUAUCUUGCAAGUCACGAUUCACGUUAAGAAAUAUUAUUUUAUGAGAACAAUUUAAUGAUUUUAAAAUAUUAUACUAGAA
Molecule: long non-coding RNA, 1976 nt
Organism: Apis mellifera (honey bee)
Lineage: Eukaryota; Metazoa; Arthropoda; Insecta; Hymenoptera; Apidae
Exons: 3
Source: RefSeq, a predicted model, not a curated record